ACUAUGAACCAUUCUAACGGUUCCUCUACUCGCAAAUGUUGGGACGGUCCCAACCGCUCGCGG
Molecule: regulatory RNA element, 63 nt
Rfam family: MDR-NUDIX RNA
Source: Rfam